GCCAGGGAGAACAGCAGCCUUUGAGUGGAAGUUGGACCAGCCCUCAGCUCCCUUCGAGGACACAGUCUGUUAGGUCACCCACACCUUAUAAAAAGCAGCUUAAUGAGGAACUCCAGCGGCGCUCUUCAGCAUUAGACACAAGAAGGAAAGCAGAACCUACCUUUGGAGGUCAUGACCCUCGUACAGCUGUUCAGCUUCGAAGCCUCAGCACAGUAUUAAAACGCCUCAAGGAAAUCAUGGAGGGGAAAAGCCAGGAUAGUGACCUGAAACAAUACUGGAUGCCAGAUAGCCAAUGUAAAGAGUGCUAUGACUGUAGUGAGAAAUUUACAACCUUUAGGCGCAGACACCAUUGCCGACUAUGUGGGCAGAUUUUCUGCAGUCGUUGCUGUAAUCAAGAAAUCCCUGGAAAAUUUAUGGGCUAUACAGACAGUUUCGCUUUUAUUGCCCAGGCUGGAGUGCAGUGGCACAGUCUUGGCUCACUGCAACCUCUGCCUCCCAGGUUCAAGCGAUU
This 511-nucleotide long non-coding RNA is filed under the name Homo sapiens (human). RNAcentral describes it as "HSALNT0046498". The record is from RNAcentral. Lineage: Eukaryota; Metazoa; Chordata; Mammalia; Primates; Hominidae.